Molecule: non-coding RNA, 93 nt
Filed under: bovine gut metagenome
Description: THF riboswitch
Rfam family: THF (Tetrahydrofolate) riboswitch aptamer
About the family: THF riboswitch presents a pseudoknot that joins P1-P2 and the loop of P3 and two THF binding.
Source: RNAcentral
CAGAGUAGGGCCAGCGCGUCAAGUGCCGUCGGAUGGGAAGUUGCCGGCGGACGAAGGAGAACGCCUCCGCGGUGCUGGUGCCGCAUCCGCUGC